Etheostoma spectabile (orangethroat darter) is the source of this 508-nucleotide long non-coding RNA. RefSeq lists it as uncharacterized. Lineage: Eukaryota; Metazoa; Chordata; Actinopteri; Perciformes; Percidae. The record is from RefSeq and is a predicted model, not a curated record. The transcript has 3 exons.
AUGUACCUCUCUUGGUUCUAAGGUUAAAGAAUACAGAUUCCUACACAUGCACAAUGAGAUCCCAAUAGAGGAAGUCUGGGUUUCAGGAGUUAGAAAUAUAAAAUAGUUAUGGGAGUUUUGAUUGCAAACUGUAGUCAUGUAGAAACUACAAAAUGUACUAAUCCCUGCUUUUGAGAACAACUGUACUUGUGGUCAUUCACCUAUCUCUCCUGUGUUAUUCUGUCCUACACCAACAUUUUCCAUGUUAACAGUUCACAGGCCACAUGCACAGUAAAUCUCAAUUGAAACACCAUGUGGUUCUAUUAAAGUAAUGUUACAUGCACUAUCAACACAAUUAUAAAAUGAUCAAUUAUCAAACUGUAUGACCUGUUUCAAUGUAUAUUCAUUGUCUUCAUAAACCUUAAGAGAUGCUUUAAUAUACAUAAUGGAUACAUUCAAUCUUACUUACUUACAAAAGGGAAGAUAGAAUGUAAAACCUUAAGUAUCAAAAUUUUGUUAGUAAGUGAUG